This 433-nucleotide ribosomal RNA is filed under the name uncultured bacterium. RNAcentral's name for it is "partial 16S ribosomal RNA". It matches the Rfam family "Bacterial small subunit ribosomal RNA", at positions 29 to 507 of the family's 1533-position model. The record is from RNAcentral.
AACGAACGCUGGCGGCAUGCCUAACACAUGCAAGUCGAACGAGACCUUCGGGCCUAGUGGCGCACGGCUGCGUAACGCGUGGGAACCUGCCCUUAGGUUCGGAAUAACUCCCCGAAAGGGGUGCUAAUACCGGAUAAUGUCUUCGGACCAAAGAUUUAUCGCCUUUGGAUGGGCCCGCGUUGGAUUAGCUAGUUGGUAGGGUAAAAGCCUACCAAGGCGACGAUCCAUAGCUGGUCUGAGAGGAUGAUCAGCCACACUGGGACUGAGACACGGCCCAGACUCCUACGGGAGGCAGCAGUGGGGAAUAUUGGACAAUGAGCGAAAGCCUGACCCAGCAAUGCCGCGUGAGUGAUGAAGGCCUUAGGGUUGUAAAGCUCUUUUACCCGGGAUGAUAAUGACAGUACCGGGAGAAUAAGCUCCGGCUAACUCCGUG